ACCAAGGCGACGAUCGGUAGCCGGACUGAGAGGUUGAACGGCCACAUUGGGACUGAUACACGGCCCAGACUCCUACGGGAGGCAGCAGUGGGGAAUAUUGCACAAUGGGGGAAACCCUGAUGCAGCGACGCCGCGUGGAGGAAGAAGGUCUUCGGAUUGUAAACUCCUGUUGUUGAGGAAGAUAAUGACGGUACUCAACAAGGAAGUGACGGCUAACUACGUGCCAGCAGCCGCGGUAAAACGUAGGUCACAAGCGUUGUCCGGAAUUACUGGGUGUAGAGGGAGCGCAGGCGGGCGAUCAAGUUGGAAGUGAAAUCCAUGGGCUCAACCCAUGAACUGCUUUCAAAACUGAUUGUCUUGAGUAGUGCAGAGGUAGGCGGAAUUCCCGGUGUAGCGGUGGAAUGCGUAGAUAUCGGGAGGAACACCAGUGGCGAAGGCGGCCUACUGGGCACCAACUGACGCUGAGGCUCGAAAGUGUGGGUAGCAAACAGGAUUAGAUACCCUGGUAGUCCACACCGUAAACGAUGAUUACUAGGUGUUGGAGGAUUGACCCUUUCAGUGCCGCAGUUAACACAAUAAGUAAUCCACCUGGGGAGUACGACCGCAAGGUUGAAACUCAAAGGAAUUGACGGGGGCCCGCACAAGCAGUGGAGUAUGUGGUUUAAUUCGACGCAACGCGAAGAGCCUUACCAAGUCUUGACAUCCUGCGACGAUGCUAGAAAUAGUAUUUUCCUUCGGGACGCAGAGACAGGUGGUGCAUGGUUGUCGUCAGCUCGUGUCGUGAGAUGUUGGGUUAAGUCCCGCAACGAGCGCAACCCUUAUGGUCAGUUACUACGCAAGAGGACUCUGGCCAGACUGCCGUUGACAAAACGGAGGAAGGUGGGGAUGACGUCAAAUCAUCAUGCCCUUUAUGACUUGGGCUACACACGUACUACAAUGGCGUUAAACAAAGAGAAGCAAGACCGCGAGGUGGAGCAAAACUCAGAAACAACGUCCCAGUUCGGACUGCAGGCUGCAACUCGCCUGCACGAAGUCGGAAUUGCUAGUAAUCGCAGAUCAGCAUGCUGCGGUGAAUACGUUCCCGGGCCUUGUACACACCGCCCGUCACACCAUGAGAGCCGGGGGGACCCGAAGUCGGUAGUCUAACCGCAAGGAGGACGCCGCCGAAGGUAAAACUGGUGAUUGGGGUGAAGUCGUAACAAGGUAG
This 1207-nucleotide ribosomal RNA is filed under the name metagenome. RNAcentral describes it as "bacterial SSU rRNA". It matches the Rfam family "Bacterial small subunit ribosomal RNA", at positions 267 to 1499 of the family's 1533-position model. The record is from RNAcentral.